CAAAUUAGAGCUUGGAUAGAAAGUUUUUUACUUACAUUAAAAAGUUAAUUGUGUAACUCAAUUUAAUUUGA
This 71-nucleotide transfer RNA is filed under the name Milichus apicalis. Its description in RNAcentral is "tRNA-Val". The record is from RNAcentral. Lineage: Eukaryota; Metazoa; Arthropoda; Insecta; Coleoptera; Scarabaeidae.